AAAGUAUCGUCCCAGCCAAGCUUGGACAGAAGCCAAAAAACAUUGUUUGUUGAAACCGCACAAGAACCAGAGUUUCAUUACGCCACUUUUCACGAGAAUAAAUUCACAACGAUUGCCUCGCUUGUUACGUGUGGAACGCAUGGUACUGAAUGCGUCUUCCUUUAUUUCCAAAUAAAGCGCAGAUCGUAAAAAUGGGACGUUCAUACACGAUGUUUUUUUCGUCACAAAAUUAAUUAUUUUUUUUGUUUGCGUAACACAGUUUUCGUCAAUGGUUACAGUAAAGAAUUUUUCGUCCGUGUUGCAAUAAAAUUAAUUUUAUCUAAUCCACGCUCGAGCUCAUCGUCACCGUUGUGCUUUUCUCCCAACAAUUUACCUUCCAUGUAGUUUUGGUUCGUAAAUACACUCGUUAUUAGCAGACGAAAGAGUACUUGUUGCUUAAACUAGCGUAUGUUAAUAAUAUCAAUGUUGACCGGGCAAAGUUUGUUGCGCACAUUACAAAAUACACUAUAUUGCGGUAUUUAUUAAAAAAGCAUAACUUUAUUUUUAUCGCUAAACGUUUAGCCCUGUAACAGUGUGUGUUACACAUGGAAAUCGUCCCGGUAAUCCAGUGGUUCCCAAAGUAUGGUUCGCGAUCCAAAUAUGGGUCGCACAGGGUUGAAAAAUGGGUCGCGCCAAGGUGAUUCAAAUUUAUUAAAAAUUCUUUUCAAGCGUUCGGGUUAGGUUUGCGUUGUAGUUCAGUCUUGUAUUUACUGGGUUUUUCUUAGGCAGGUGGACUGUUUGUUACGAAAUAGUAGGCAUUCACACGCAGUGUUCUAUUUUUUUUUCAAUUUCCGCCGACCGCAAAUUAUGACGUCAUGUAUUUCCGCGAAAAUUACGACUUUCGUAAAUACGGUGUGCAUUCGUACGAUGGUCGCUGACAUAAUCUCUAAUCAGUGAUUCAGCUAAUCAGUUAUAAAGUUAAACCGCACACGUAGUUUGUAAUAGUAUUAUCAUGCUAUUUGUACUCUACGCAAGACAUUUUUUAUAAACGAUAUAAGAAAACGAACUAUAUACAUGAGAGCAUAGACGUCGAUUUUUUAAUAAUAUUUGCUAAAUUUUAGGUGAUUUAUUCACAUGCUUGUUGCGUUCACAUGCGUAAGAAUUAUUCAUCGUAGACGAGACAAUCCUUAGGAUUAGCCAAUGGCAGACGGGAAAAUGCAAAUAUUCAACCUGUUUUCAAGCACCUGCGGGCUAAAAUCAAAGGGACAAUCGCUAGUAUGACGCAAAUAAUCAACGUGUGAAUUGCUAUUAUGUCGUUAUCAAUUGCCAGGUUCAACCAACCGCUAUUAUGAUACAAUGAAUCCAUGUGUGGAUCCCUACUAUUUCGUUAUAAACAUGCUGCUUGGCUGAGGAAAA
Non-coding RNA from Ciona intestinalis (vase tunicate), 1395 nucleotides. The record is from RefSeq and is a predicted model, not a curated record. Lineage: Eukaryota; Metazoa; Chordata; Ascidiacea; Phlebobranchia; Cionidae.